Molecule: non-coding RNA, 473 nt
Organism: Pelobates cultripes (western spadefoot toad)
Lineage: Eukaryota; Metazoa; Chordata; Amphibia; Anura; Pelobatidae
Source: the annotation of a GenBank genome assembly
AUUUUAUGAACCGGGAACUAGCGAUUGGCUUAGAGCGUCAACUGACCACUCUAGCCAAUCAGCGGCACCCAUGCCUGACGUCAAUCUGCACUUCCUGACACUCUGUUUCAGAAGCCAAAUACCACUGAGUGACCUGGAGCUGGAGGAAGCCUUUGGGGUUAAACCAUUUGAGAGCGAUUUAACCCCUUAAAGGAAAACGAGCACCCAGGGGCUUCCUGGCAUCAUAGCAUUUUCAUUUAGGUGAAGUUGUUAUGGUGACCAGAAAUGUCCUUUAAUUUGCUUAAAGGAACACUAUAGUGUCAGUAAUACAAACAUAUAUUCCUGACACCAUAACUGUGAAAACGCUAUUCACCCUGGCUUUAUGUGAUAAUGGCUAUGCCCCUUCCCUUUCAUGACACUGUCAAAAAGGUACCAAGCAUGGAUGUCAUUACAAUUAUGCCCCCUCCUGGAAAAAUUCCUGCGGACGCCCAUGC